This 301-nucleotide long non-coding RNA is filed under the name Penaeus japonicus. RNAcentral describes it as "uncharacterized LOC122258781". Lineage: Eukaryota; Metazoa; Arthropoda; Malacostraca; Decapoda; Penaeidae. The record is from RNAcentral.
AAAGAAACCACUAAUCGCGAGGCGAAGGGGAUUGAGGCCAAGGCUGAGGAGGGAGAAGAAAAGCCUUCAACCAGCCUCUCAGAGACACCCAAGAAGAAAAGUCCGCCUAGUAAAUGGGAAAACAUCAUGAAGUUGAAGGACCCUAAGAGUGAGGUCAAACGAGGUGCACGAAUGGAAGCACAUGACAAGUUUGUAGAAGAGAGGAAGAGGAAUGAUUACCUUGGGUUAAAGACAGAGGAGGAGAAAGCUAUCAAGCGCAAAAACAAGUAGAUAGUGUGAGACAAAUAAAAAAAAAAUCUUA